Molecule: long non-coding RNA, 206 nt
Filed under: Homo sapiens (human)
Lineage: Eukaryota; Metazoa; Chordata; Mammalia; Primates; Hominidae
Description: non-protein coding lnc-MAB21L2-6:1
Source: RNAcentral
UUGGUGACAUUAUAUUGUAUAAUGGUUCCUGGUUAAUGGCUUAUUUGAGCUAUAUCUAGAGCAAUUUAGCACUGAUACUGUAUAGGAAAAUGAGAGAACGGGAUUAAAUUCGUGGAUGUUUUGCACGGAAGUUUUUAAUAGGAUAAUUUAUUUGAGCAAACAUCCAGUCUAUUUAAUGAAUCUGGAAUGCUGUGGAGCUCAGAAGU